UACGUAGGUGGCAAGCGUUACUCGGAAUCACUAGGCGUAAAGCGCAGGUAGGCGGUUCGGUAAGUCUUUUGUGAAAGCUCCUGGCUUAACUGGGAGAGGUCAAAGGAAACUACCGGGCUAGAGUUUGGUAGGGGAUACUGGAAUUCCUGGUGUAGCGGUGAAAUGCGUAGAUAUCAGGAGGAAUACCUAUGGCGAAAGCAGGUAUCUGGGCCACAACUGACGCUGAGCUGCGAAAGCUAGGGGAGCAAACAGG
This 253-nucleotide ribosomal RNA is filed under the name uncultured bacterium. Its description in RNAcentral is "partial 16S ribosomal RNA". It matches the Rfam family "Bacterial small subunit ribosomal RNA", at positions 524 to 776 of the family's 1533-position model. The record is from RNAcentral.